UACGUAGGGGACGAGCGUUGUCCGGAAUUACUGGGCGUAAAGGGCGCGCAGGCUGCGUUACAAGUCAGCUGUUAAAUGCAUGGGCUUACCCCAUGAGUGCGGUUGAAACUGUAGUGCUAGAGUACUGUAGAGGCAAGCGGAAUUCCCAGUGUAGCGGUGAAAUGCGUAGAUAUUGGGAGGAACACCGGUGGCGUAGGCGGCUUGCUGGACAGUAACUGACGCUGAGGCGCGGAAGCCAGGGGAGCAAACGGGAUUAGAUACCCCGGUA
RNAcentral lists this ribosomal RNA (268 nucleotides) under uncultured prokaryote. RNAcentral's name for it is "partial 16S ribosomal RNA". It matches the Rfam family "Bacterial small subunit ribosomal RNA", at positions 524 to 792 of the family's 1533-position model. The record is from RNAcentral.